GAUGAACGCUGGCGGCGUGCCUAAUACAUGCAAGUCGAGCGAACAGACGAGGAGCUUGCUCCUCUGACGUUAGCGGCGGACGGGUGAGUAACACGUGGAUAACCUACCUAUAAGACUGGGAUAACUUCGGGACACCGGAGCUAAUACCGGAUAAUAUAUUGAACCGCAUGGUUCAAUAGUGAAAGACGGUUUUGCUGUCACUUAUAGAUGGUUCCGCGCCGCAUUAGCUAGUUGGUAAGGUAACGGCUUACCAAGGCAACGAUGCGUAGCCGACCUGAGAGGGUGAGCGGCCACACUGGAACUGAGACACGGUCCAGACUCCUACGGGAGGCAGCAGUAGGGAAUCUUCCGCAAUGGGCGAAAGCCUGACGGAGCAACGCCGCGUGAGUGAUGAAGGUCUUCGGAUCGUAAAACUCUGUUAUUAGGGAAGAACAAAUGUGUAAGUAACUAUGCACGUCGUGACGGUACCUAAUCAGAAAGCCACGGCUAACUACGUG
This 497-nucleotide ribosomal RNA is filed under the name uncultured bacterium. RNAcentral's name for it is "partial 16S ribosomal RNA". It matches the Rfam family "Bacterial small subunit ribosomal RNA", at positions 28 to 507 of the family's 1533-position model. The record is from RNAcentral.